Molecule: ribosomal RNA, 497 nt
Filed under: uncultured bacterium
Lineage: Bacteria
Description: partial 16S ribosomal RNA
Rfam family: Bacterial small subunit ribosomal RNA
Source: RNAcentral
GAUGAACGCUGGCGGCGUGCCUAAUACAUGCAAGUCGAGCGAACGGACGCGACGCUUGCUUCUCUGAUGUUAGCGGCGGACGGGUGAGUAACACGUGGAUACCCUCCCUAUCUGACUGGGAUAACUUCGGGACACCGGAUCUAAUCCCGGAUGAUCUUUUGAACCGCAUGGUUCAAUAGUGAAAGACGGUCUUGCUGUCACUUCUAGAUGCAUCCGCGCUGCAUUAGCUAGUUGGUAAGGUAACGGCCUACCAAGGCAACGAUGCAUAGCCGACCUGAGAGAGUGAUCGGCCACACUGGAACUGAGACACGGUCCAGACUCCUAAGGGAGGCAGCAGUAGGGAAUCGUCGGCAAUGGGCGAAAGCAUGACGGAGCAACGCCGAGUGAGAGAUGAAGAUCUUCGGAUCGGGAAAAUCUGUUAUUAGGGAAGAACAGAUGUGUAAGGAAAUGAGCACAUCGUGACGGUACCUAAUCAGAAAGCAACGGCUAACUACGUG